This 69-nucleotide transfer RNA is filed under the name Tomistoma schlegelii (false gharial). RNAcentral's name for it is "transfer RNA-His". It matches the Rfam family "tRNA". Rfam says of the family: Transfer RNA (tRNA) molecules are approximately 80 nucleotides in length. Their secondary structure includes four short double-helical elements and three loops (D, anti-codon, and T loops). Lineage: Eukaryota; Metazoa; Chordata; Crocodylia; Gavialidae. The record is from RNAcentral.
GUGGAUAUAAUUUAAAUAAAAUAUUAGAAUGUGAAACUAAAAAUAGGGAAUAAACACCCCUUAUCCACC